UGCCGUUGAAGAGGAGAGAAUGGACUAGUCGUUGAACAUGACCACCAUCCUCUCCGGCAAACCCCUCACCGCAGCGCCCUAUUCCUCGUCGACGCUGUUUUAGCAUACGUCUUGUUUAGUUCCGAAGAAAUUUCGGAUUUCGCUAUUGUAGCACUUUCGUUUUUAUUUGAUAAAUAUUAUCCAAUCAUGAACUAAUUAGGAUCAAAAGAUUCGUCUCGUGAUUUACAGACAAACUGUGUAAUUAGUUUUUAUUUUUGUCUAUAUUUAAUGUUUUAUGCAUGUGUCGCAAGAUUCGAUGUGACGGGGAAUCUUGAAAACUUUUUGGAUUUCGAGGUGAACUAAACAAGGCCAUAGUCCAGCUACCUUGCGCCGAAUCCACGGGAAAACUUGUCGCAACAAGUACUUAGCUUGUCACACUCAUACAAGACGAGUGGUUUGUACAAAAGUGUUCAUGUCACACUACCACAUAUAUAUGGUCCUUAAUCAGUCCAGUGAGCUACACCAUUCAUCUACGAUCUAAGCAAGCUAAGCAUGUAUUACGUGACAACUGAAAGUGAACAAACAAUGAUACAAGGCAUUGGAUCAAUCACAAGGAAUUGAAGCUCAACUAGGUACUUUAGGUAACUAUUUAAUUUGUAAUCUAGCAUGCAUAUACUUAAUCUUUAGUCACAUUAUGCAACCCUCAAAAGGAAAAAGUUAGAAUACUUACGUACCUGCCUUGGGGUUCAGUCGGGGGCUGCUCAACAAAUGUGUCGGUCACGGGGGUACGAUUCUUCAACUUUAUAUGUGAACUUCAAUUUGGUACAUGUACAUGUACUGAAGAUGUGAGAAUGGAUGAUAGAUUUGAAGGUCUGGACAACCUCGGUGAGUUCUUUAUCAAGCUUGCUGACACCGAGAAGCAUAAACUUUAUGGUUGGGCUUCUUAAUCCUCAAAUUAACAUUGAUCUUACCAGUGGUGACAACAAGUGUGUUGAAAGAGUGUUCUCUGCAUCAUGUGUAGUGAAGAAUAAGGUGAGAAACAGUAUGAGUACGUAACAAGUUACUAAAUGAUUGUUUGGUUAUGUUUAUUGAGCAUGAUAUAUUCUCUAAUGUAAAAGAGUAUGACAUAGUUCAUGCUUUCAUGGCAAUGAGGAAGCACAGAGCAAAAGCCAGUAUUGAAGUCUCUUAUACGUAAGGCCUUAUCUUAUGUAUGAUCUAUUUGUGUAAGUUUCAAACCUAAUUGUGUAAGUUUUGAACCUUUUAAAUGUACUAUCCACUACUACAUUUUUUUAACCGCGGCAGGCAAAAACGGUUAACUGCGGCGGGCAAAGCAACCGCCUUGGAUCAAAUGUCACGGUUAAUUCUGGCCUUAACGAGGUUGGCGCUGUAAAGAAAUUGUCUCGGUUAAAGGUGGUUGCCCUAAUUUGACCAACUCCUUUAAAGGAAUAACCGAGGUAGUUUCGUUAAGGCAACCACCUCUGUAAUGAGUUUAACCGAGGCAGUUUUUGUUAGAUGGCCGCCUCCGUUAAGUGUAUCCAGAUUGAAAAAAUACUUUUUUGAAUUUGUUUUCGAAUUUGAAACAGAAAUUUGUUAGAGCAUAUACAAAGCAAAAGACAUGCACAUGAAGGAUAACGACAUAUAUUAUAUCCAUUCAUGUGUCGUCUUUAUUAUCAUUCUACGGUCCAUGUCACACAAUAAGUUCAUAUUACAUGAAUGUAGACAAUGUUUAUAAAAAGCACAUCUAAUAGUGUUCACUCAAAAAAUGCCCAACAACUUAUAAUCGUUCAUGUCUAGAUUGUUGGUUCUUUAGUUGCGUAGCUUCUCAAACUUCUCCUCUCGCUAGCUCGCUCUUGGUAUAGAAGAAUUGUCCGUCAACAUGACAACAUUCAUCUGUGACAAACUUACAAAUGUUGACUAUUGUUUGCGUGAUGGUCCUUUGAUCAAUUGUUUCCUUUUCCCACCAACUUUAGGAUUUCUGCAGCUGUCGCCAACUACUGCUGAAUCUCCCGCAAGCCUUGAUGUACUCACAAGCAUGGUAUCCACACAAGACCGAGCCUUCAGUUUGUUUGGUGCACUACAUGCAUGAUAAAGGUAACACACGAUCAUUGGUAGUAGUAUCCAUACAAGACGGAUCCAUCAAUAGUAGUAGAACUAGGGGCAGGAGGAGUAAGUACUGAGAAUUCUUGCCCCAUAGCUAGUUUGUGGCCAUACUUCUGCUUGUCUUUCUCGGACCUCCGAUCAUAGCAGCUGGGGUCUUCCACGUACU
Molecule: long non-coding RNA, 2245 nt
Filed under: Sorghum bicolor (sorghum)
Lineage: Eukaryota; Viridiplantae; Streptophyta; Magnoliopsida; Poales; Poaceae
Description: long non-coding RNA (SBIC_LNC002389)
Source: RNAcentral